RNAcentral lists this ribosomal RNA (1519 nucleotides) under metagenome. RNAcentral describes it as "bacterial SSU rRNA". It matches the Rfam family "Bacterial small subunit ribosomal RNA". The record is from RNAcentral.
AGAGUUUGAUCCUGGCUCAGGACGAACGCUGGCGGCGUGCUUUAUACAUGCAAGUCGUGCGAGAUACCGUUUCUUCAAGGCUUCGGCCAAGAAGUUGCGGUGGAGAGCGGCAAACGGGUGAGUAACACGUAGGUAAUAUGCCUUUCAGCAGGGGAUAACUUCGGGAAACCGGGGCUAAUACCCUAUAUUAUCAUUUGCUUAUGGCUUUCGAUGAAAGAACUUGUUCACUGAAAGAUUAGCCUGCGCCCCAUUAUGCUUGUUGGUGAGGUAACGGCCCACCAAGGCUGGGAUGGGUAGCCGACCUGAAAGGGUGACCGGCCACACUGGGACUGAGACACGGCCCAGACUCCUACGGGAGGCAGCAGUAGGGAAUCUUGCGCAAUGGACGAAAGUCUGACGCAGCAACGCCGCGUGAAGGACGACAUCUCUAGGGAUGUAAACUUCUUUUAGGAGGGAAGAAAUGGCCCAUAUGGGUAGCUGACGGUACCUCCAGAAAAAGCACCGGCUAACUCCGUGCCAGCAGCCGCGGUAAUACGGAGGGUGCAAGCGUUGUCCGGAAUUACUAGGCGUAAAGCGUACGUAGGCGUUUCUGUAAGUCGGUUGUUAAAGACCCCUGCUUAACGGGGGAAGGUCAAGCGAAACUACAGAAAUUGAGAAUAGAAUAGGAGAGCGGAAUACCUGGAGGAGCGGUGAAAUGCGUAGAUUUCAGGAAGAACGUCGAUGGCGAAGGCAGCUCUCUGGUCUGUUUCUGACGCUCAGGUACGAAAGCUAGGGGAGCGAACCGGAUUAGAUACCCGGGUAGUCCUAGCCGUAAACGAUGGAAACUAGGUGUUGGACAAUAGUCCGGCGCCGCAGCUAACGCGUUAAGUUUCCCGCCUGGGGAGUACGGUCGCAAGACUGAAACUCAAAGGAAUUGACGGGGGCCCGCACAAGCGGUGGAGCACGUGGUUUAAUUCGAUCUAACCGAAGAACCUUACCUGGACUUGACAUGGUAGGUGGUACUUUCUCUGAAAGGAGAGGGGACCCUUUUAACCAAGGGAGUCUAUCACAGGUGCUGCAUGGCUGUCGUCAGCCCGUGUCGUGAGAUGUUGGGUUAAGUCCCGCAACGAGCGCAACCCUUACCCUAUGUUACCAGCGGAUAAUGCCGGGGACUCUUAGGGAACUGCCCAGAACAACUGGGAGGAAGGUGGGGACGACGUCAAGUCAUCAUGGCCCUUAUGUCCAGGGCUACACACGUGCUACAAUGGCCGGUACAAAGGGCAGCUAACUCGCAAGAGCAUGCAAAUCCCAGAAAGCCGGUCCCAGUUCGGAUUGCAGGCUGAAAUUCGCCUGCAUGAAGUUGGAAUCGCUAGUAAUCGCAGGUCAGCUAAACUGCGGUGAAUACGUUCCCGGGCCUUGUACACACCGCCCGUCACACCACGAAAGUCAGUUGUACCAGAAGUCGUUGGGCUAAUCCUCUUCGGAGGAAAGCAGGCGCCUAAGGUAUGGUUGGUAAUUGGGGUGAAGUCGUAACAAGGUA